This is a long non-coding RNA of Paramisgurnus dabryanus, 625 nucleotides long. RefSeq lists it as uncharacterized. The record is from RefSeq and is a predicted model, not a curated record. Lineage: Eukaryota; Metazoa; Chordata; Actinopteri; Cypriniformes; Cobitidae.
GAACUAAUGCACUGUGAGUCUUAUAAAUUGCUUACAUACCUCACCGAUUUCCCACUGUCUGGAAAACGCUCGGUUUAGUUCCUGUCUCCGCCUCCCAAAAUGUCUAGUGUAUUCGGAUUGGUCAGAUGACUACUCAACUGUUAUUGGUCAACUGGGUUCGGCGUGUGUUUGAAAGGUUACGCCCCUGACUACGCGUGGGUUUUCCGGUUCUGACUGAGAGUCACAGGCAACGUAAACAAGCGCUAUAUUUCUCUAUAAACGAUGGUGUCUGUACUGCCUUACCACUUCAAGCUCGAUCCAGAGAGUUCAGACGGCGUUACGAUAUAAACGAUCUCCGUCAAUUAACGCGAUUGGAUUUAACUUUUUUAGGUGUCCUUAGCUCUGCCAGAAUGCUAAACGAAGACGAAAAUGUGUUGCAAAGACAUCCAAAAGGUUUUAAGGAGAAUGCAACAGGUUCCAGGGCCUCUUACCUGCGUGAUUCAUCAUCCAGAUACGCUUGGAGCUUCCUGAUCAGAUCGGUCACAAUUUUGGCUUUCGAUGACCCCUGCACUGAAGAUGGCAUGCAAUCACGUCCUCCUUUGAAGGUCUCUCAAACUGUGAUGCCAGGUCCAUUGGAAUCGGGGUU